CUCAUCACCAACCAUCCAACCAACUGAGCUAAACGACCCCCAAAAUAUCAAACAAGAGCAAGGAAUUGUAAGUGAGUAUUCGAGCAGAAUGCAAUUUUUCAAUCAAUGGAGAGAUAGAUACCUGAUGCUGGUUUGAACCUUACAUAUGGCUAAGGAAGGACACCACUUUGACUGGGACAACACAUCCAGCCGAGGACAAGCCAAACAGAG
This is a non-coding RNA of Chiloscyllium plagiosum (whitespotted bambooshark), 210 nucleotides long. The record is from RefSeq and is a predicted model, not a curated record. Lineage: Eukaryota; Metazoa; Chordata; Chondrichthyes; Orectolobiformes; Hemiscylliidae.